RNAcentral lists this signal recognition particle RNA (117 nucleotides) under Pan troglodytes (chimpanzee). RNAcentral describes it as "Metazoan signal recognition particle RNA". It matches the Rfam family "Metazoan signal recognition particle RNA". From Rfam's summary of the family: The signal recognition particle (SRP) is a universally conserved ribonucleoprotein. It is involved in the co-translational targeting of proteins to membranes. The record is from Rfam by way of RNAcentral. Lineage: Eukaryota; Metazoa; Chordata; Mammalia; Primates; Hominidae.
GCCGGGUGUGGUGGCUCACGCCUGUAAUCCCAGCCCUUUGGGAGGCUGAGGCGGGUGGAUCACCUGAGGUCAGGAGUUCAAGACCGGCCUGACCAACAUGGUGAAACCCUGUCUCUA